RNAcentral lists this ribosomal RNA (573 nucleotides) under Triticum aestivum (bread wheat). RNAcentral's name for it is "partial small subunit ribosomal RNA". Lineage: Eukaryota; Viridiplantae; Streptophyta; Magnoliopsida; Poales; Poaceae. The record is from RNAcentral.
AUGGCAAAUUCCUCUGUUUUGGAAGUAAAUCAUCAUGAAUGGGAAAGGAGAGAUAACGAUCUUGUGAUUGUUGUUAGGAACAGAGGAAUAAUUAGCGUGAUUUUCCUUUGGAAACGGCCUUUUCAUGACCAUUUAUUAGCGGGUUAUUAUGACAAUUGCUUCCCGUUUCUUAUUCUGGAGGGGAAUAGAGGGAUCUAUAUCAAGUUGGGGAGGUGGUGUUCCUUUUCGUCAGUUCUGUCUGUAGCAGAGAAGCCUACUCCAAAAAGUUUGCGAUUGCUCUCGGGUGGGUCUUCCAUGGCGAGCUGGAAGGGGGUGGAGAGGUGCGGGGUGGAGGGUGCAGAGGGGAGAGAGGUUGUGGGGGGAGGGGUGGCUCAGUCCGCAGGGUUGCAGUCGCCGGUGACAACAAAACGCCGGGUGGCUCCUGCUCCAGCCAUUACCCCUGAAAGCAGGGGGAAGUCGACGCCGAGGCGUGCCAGGAGCGAUGGCUCGUCUCUGGUCAUCGAUAUGAAGGCCGCGAGGAGGCGAUCAGUGGCUUCCUGGUGGUGGGGAGGCUUCUAUCGCCCUUCCAAGUGA